Aplysia californica (California sea hare) is the source of this 513-nucleotide long non-coding RNA. RefSeq lists it as uncharacterized. NCBI's taxonomy places the organism in Eukaryota, Metazoa, Mollusca, Gastropoda, Aplysiida, Aplysiidae. The record is from RefSeq and is a predicted model, not a curated record. The transcript has 4 exons.
UAUUCCUUAUCUCUUUUAUUUCAGGGGAUGGAUAAUGAAGGACGGAACUCCAAUGGGCCCAAACCCCAGCCCCUACAACUUGUACAAGCAGCGGGGCAACAAGAGAGUCAUGCUGGACGCCGGGCUCCUGUCUAGGAACAGUGCCAUUGAGAACUUCCUCAACCACUUGGACGCCCAGGAGCAGGCGGCCGAUCCGUGGGGUCCUGGCAAGCGGAAGUAGAGUGAGUCCGGUGGAGCAGCUGCCAGAUAGGCUGACGUCACCGCCCACGCACAGACUACGCAACACCCGCCGGCACGUGCCGGACCAAUCAAAAUCUUAGUUUGUUUGGACUUUUAGUUUUUGCCUUUAUUUUAGUUUCGAAACAAUUUCUACGAUAAAUGCUUAUUGGUUAUUAUGAAGAAAAGUUUCAUCAAUGAUCUGUGAUUGAUUUUUUUCCCAAACGAAUGUGAUAAUAAAUUAUGGAUCGAUAAAGAGGCCAAGAGGUCGAAUGUAUAUUAUAAUUUCUUCUCUAC